UCGAGGAUCUUUAGCAAUGCCCGAAAGGGUGACUAUGCGACGCCGCGUGCAGGAUGAAGGCCUUCGGGUCGUAAACUGCUGUCAGGGGGGAAGAAACUCCGUGUGUUAAUAGCAUGCGGUCUGACAUUACCCCCAAAGGAAGCCACGGCUAACUCUGUGCCAGCAGCCGCGGUAAGACAGAGGUGGCAAGCGUUGUUCGGAUUUAUUGGGUGUAAAGGGCAGGUAGGUGGCCCGGAAAGUCUGGCGUGAAAUCCCAGAGCUUAACUCUGGAACUGCGCUGGAAACUCCCGGGCUUGAGUGCUGGAGAGGUAAGGGGAAUUCCCGGUGUAAGGGUGAAAUCUGUAGAUAUCGGGAGGAAUACCAGAGGCGAAGGCGCCUUACUGGCCGGCAACUGACACUGAGCUGCGAAAGCAAGGGGAGCAAACAGG
Molecule: ribosomal RNA, 428 nt
Filed under: uncultured bacterium
Lineage: Bacteria
Description: bacterial SSU rRNA
Rfam family: Bacterial small subunit ribosomal RNA
Source: RNAcentral